CGCAGUGCAGCCGCAUUGUCUACCGCGAUGCGUUUUCCCUUACUUUUGGUCAGCGCCCUGGUUAUCGCCUUAUUUUUCGACUUCACUCAGUGCCAGGAGGCGACCGAGAAUAUGGGCCGCUUCUACCUGGUGCCGAACGAGAACCUCGCGCCGAACGGGAGACUCCCGCGUGGAGAUUAUCCCUCGAGAUCCGCGACAGUGAAUGGAGAUAAAAGAGGCGAUUUGGACUCCCUAAGUGGAAUGGCCUUCGGACGCUGAGCCGGACAAUGUCCCUGAUCUGGAAAAUGUUGAUUUUCGUCGUCAGAAGAUCGACAGCCAUCUGCAUAUCGAAGACACCUAUCGUGAUUCGCAUGACCGGAGUGUGAGACGGCUCGAAAACAGAAUAAACUGCAUUAAAAA
Molecule: long non-coding RNA, 399 nt
Organism: Galendromus occidentalis (western predatory mite)
Lineage: Eukaryota; Metazoa; Arthropoda; Arachnida; Mesostigmata; Phytoseiidae
Exons: 2
Source: RefSeq, a predicted model, not a curated record